CGGAUUGUAGUCUGCAACCCGACUACAUGAAGCUGGAAUCGCUAGUAAUCGCGGAUCAGAAUGCCGCGGUGAAUACGUUCCCGGGUCUUGUACACACCGCCCGUCACACCAUGGGAGUCGGAAAUGCCCGAAGUCUGUGACCCAACCUACGGGAGGGAGCAGCCGAAGGCAGGUCGGAUGACUGGGGUGAAGUCGUAACAAGGUAGC
This 207-nucleotide ribosomal RNA is filed under the name uncultured bacterium. RNAcentral describes it as "partial 16S ribosomal RNA". It matches the Rfam family "Bacterial small subunit ribosomal RNA", at positions 1294 to 1500 of the family's 1533-position model. The record is from RNAcentral.